GAUGAACGCUGGCGGCGUGCCUAAUACAUGCAAGUCGAGCGAACGGACGAGGAGCUUGCUCCUCUGACGUUAGCGGCGGACGGGUGAGUAACACGUGGAUAACCUACCUAUAAGACUGGGAUAACUUCGGGAAACCGGAGCUAAUACCGGAUAAUAUAUUGAACCGCAUGGUUCAAUAGUGAAAGACGGUUUUGCUGUCACUUAUAGAUGGAUCCGCGCUGCAUUAGCUAGUUGGUAAGGUAACGGCUUACCAAGGCAACGAUGCGUAGCCGACCUGAGAGGGUGAUCGGCCACACUGGAACUGAGACACGGUCCAGACUCCUACGGGAGGCAGCAGUAGGGAAUCUUCCGCAAUGGGCGAAAGCCUGACGGAGCAACGCCGCGUGAGUGAUGAAGGUCUUCGGAUCGUAAAACUCUGUUAUUAGGGAAGAACAAAUGUGUAAGUAACUAUGCACAUCUUGACGGUACCUAAUCAGAAAGCCACGGCUAACUACGUG
Molecule: ribosomal RNA, 497 nt
Filed under: uncultured bacterium
Lineage: Bacteria
Description: partial 16S ribosomal RNA
Rfam family: Bacterial small subunit ribosomal RNA
Source: RNAcentral